Molecule: ribosomal RNA, 428 nt
Filed under: uncultured bacterium
Lineage: Bacteria
Description: bacterial SSU rRNA
Rfam family: Bacterial small subunit ribosomal RNA
Source: RNAcentral
UACGGGAGGCAGCAGUGGGGAAUCUUAGGCAAUGGGGCAACCCUGAUCUAGCCAUGCCGCGUGAGUGAUGAAGGCCUUAGGGUUGUAAAGCUCUUUCAGCUGGGAAGAUAAUGACGGUACCAGCAGAAGAAGCCCCGGCUAACUCCGUGCCAGCAGCCGCGGUAAUACGGAGGGGCUAGCGUUGUUCGGAAUUACUGGGCGUAAAGCGCACGUAGGCGGACUGGAAAGUCAGAGGUGAAAUCCCAGGGCUCAACCUUGGAACUGCCUUUUGAAACUAUCAGUCUGGAGUUCGAGAGAGGUGAGUGGAAUUCCGAGUGUAGAGGUGAAAUUCGUAGAUAUUCGGAGGAACACCAGUGGCGAAGGCGGCUCACUGGCUCGAUACUGACGCUGAGGGUGCGAAAGCGUGGGGAGCAAACAGGGAUUAGAUA